UUAUUUUUAAGUUUGCACUUUGAUUUGUGUAUUAUGGGCCAUUAUUCUUAUCUAGGAUGAGAUGGAAAGAGCUGGCGAAUUGUUCAUUUGAACAUUCAGUUGAGAGAAAGAGACAUAAAGCUGUGGAAGAAGAUAAUUUUUUUUUUCCAUAAAACAACACCUACGAGUCUAAUAUUUUUUGUCAGGUUAACAUAAUCAAGAAUUGCAAACAGUGGAGCUAGCAUGGAGAAAAAGAAGAGGCAUUUUUGGUGGAUGUGAGAUCAAUUACUAGCAAGGGAGUGCUCGACUUUUGGAAAGAUGGAUCCAUAGAGCUUUAUUGCAUAAUUUAUUCUGGAAGUUAAAGGGAAUUAGCUCGAAAUAGCAGUGAUCUUAACAUAGGUGUACGAUGGAUUCUGUCUUUUAUGAUUUAAUUAGUUUUAAGAUUUGUCUUUUUGAUUUAGUUAGUAAUGGAGAGAUGAUUUAAUUUGAUGCAAUCAAAAUUGUAAGGA
Nicotiana attenuata is the source of this 488-nucleotide long non-coding RNA. RefSeq lists it as uncharacterized. The record is from RefSeq and is a predicted model, not a curated record. The transcript has 4 exons. Lineage: Eukaryota; Viridiplantae; Streptophyta; Magnoliopsida; Solanales; Solanaceae.